RNAcentral lists this ribosomal RNA (1158 nucleotides) under Triticum aestivum (bread wheat). Its description in RNAcentral is "partial small subunit ribosomal RNA". The record is from RNAcentral. Lineage: Eukaryota; Viridiplantae; Streptophyta; Magnoliopsida; Poales; Poaceae.
CGCCAGACCCAGCAGCACCAGCAGCAGGGCCUGCAGAGCCGCCGCCCCCCGACCUCCCCCUCCCUCUCCCCGUCCCCCUCCCCCAGGCGGAAGACGGCCGCGGCGGCGGCCGUCUCCGCGUCCCUCGACGCCGACGGCCGGGCGGAUUCCGACGACUCCUCCUCCACCUCCUCCAAGCCCUCGCUCGCCUCCACGGCCGCCGAGGUGAAUGUCGUGUCCUCCGCGCCUCCCGCGGAGGAGGAGGAGGAGGAGGCCGGGAAUCUGGACAGGUUCCUCGCCUCCACCACGCCCUCCGUGCCCGUCCGGAACACGCCCGAGACAAGCCUGAGGAUGCGGAGGAGUGGAGAUGCCAUGGAUUCAUCUCCUUACUUCUGCCUUGAUGAUCUCUGGGAGUCUUUCAGGGAGUGGAGUGCUUAUGGGGCUGGUGUUCCCCUGGUGUUAAAUGGCGGUGACUCCGUGAUACAAUAUUAUGUGCCAUAUCUCUCUGCUAUCCAGCUGUAUGCUGAUCCAUCUAGACCUGUUGCAAGUACCAGGCAUCCUCUGGAUGAAAGUGACGGGGAAUCUACGGAUUUUAGCAGUGAGAGUAGCAGUGAAACUGAUGCUGCUCAAAAUGGUGUCUUACAAAGUGAGGAUGGCGAUGCUUUUGUAUCUGCAAGUUUUCCUAUAUUUGAGCAUCUGGAGCGGGAUCCUCCGUAUGGAAGAGAGCCUUUAACAGACAAGGUAUCAGUUCUUGCGGAUAGAUUUCCAGCUUUAAAGACAUUCAGAAGCUGUGACUUGCUGCCAUCCAGUUGGAUGUCUGUUGCAUGGUACCCCAUAUAUAGAAUCCCAACAGGACCGACGCUGAAGGACCUGGACGCGUGCUUCUUGACAUUCCAUUGCCUGGCAACACCUUCCAAGGAUAGCCAUCCCACCACACCAGCAUGCCCCGGCUUCGAGGGAAUCGGCCACUGCACCACCGCAACGGGCAGGCUUUCCCUGCCCGCCUUCGGGCUGGCGUCCUACAAGCUCCGCAGCUCCUUGUGGGCGUCCAACGGCGCCCCGGAGCAGGAGAGCGUCACGUCGCUGAUGCAGGAGGCGGACAACUGGCUCCGCUGCGUACAGGUGGACCACCCGGACUUCCGGUUCUUCGUCUCGCACUUUGGCGCGACGUGGAGAUGA